RNAcentral lists this ribosomal RNA (800 nucleotides) under Bacillus sp. Ni11. RNAcentral describes it as "bacterial SSU rRNA". It matches the Rfam family "Bacterial small subunit ribosomal RNA", at positions 392 to 1185 of the family's 1533-position model. The record is from RNAcentral. Lineage: Bacteria; Bacillati; Bacillota; Bacilli; Caryophanales; Bacillaceae.
CAACGCCGCGUGAGUGAUGAAGGUUUUCGGAUCGUAAAGCUCUGUUGUUAGGGAAGAACAAGUGCAAGAGUAACUGCUUGCACCUUGACGGUACCUAACCAGAAAGCCACGGCUAACUACGUGCCAGCAGCCGCGGUAAUACGUAGGUGGCAAGCGUUGUCCGGAAUUAUUGGGCGUAAAGGGCUCGCAGGCGGUUUCUUAAGUCUGAUGUGAAAGCCCCCGGCUCAACCGGGGAGGGUCAUUGGAAACUGGGAAACUUGAGUGCAGAAGAGGAGAGUGGAAUUCCACGUGUAGCGGUGAAAUGCGUAGAGAUGUGGAGGAACACCAGUGGCGAAGGCGACUCUCUGGUCUGUAACUGACGCUGAGGAGCGAAAGCGUGGGGAGCGAACAGGAUUAGAUACCCUGGUAGUCCACGCCGUAAACGAUGAGUGCUAAGUGUUAGGGGGUUUCCGCCCCUUAGUGCUGCAGCUAACGCAUUAAGCACUCCGCCUGGGGAGUACGGUCGCAAGACUGAAACUCAAAGGAAUUGACGGGGGCCCGCACAAGCGGUGGAGCAUGUGGUUUAAUUCGAAGCAACGCGAAGAACCUUACCAGGUCUUGACAUCCUCUGACAACCCUAGAGAUAGGGCUUUCCCUUCGGGGACAGAGUGACAGGUGGUGCAUGGUUGUCGUCAGCUCGUGUCGUGAGAUGUUGGGUUAAGUCCCGCAACGAGCGCAACCCUUGAUCUUAGUUGCCAGCAUUUAGUUGGGCACUCUAAGGUGACUGCCGGUGACAAACCGGAGGAAGGUGGGGAUGACGU